This is a long non-coding RNA of Hylaeus anthracinus, 453 nucleotides long. RefSeq lists it as uncharacterized. The record is from RefSeq and is a predicted model, not a curated record. NCBI's taxonomy places the organism in Eukaryota, Metazoa, Arthropoda, Insecta, Hymenoptera, Colletidae. The transcript has 3 exons.
AAAAAAUAUUUACAUGUACAUAAUAAAUAUGUUGUUUAUUUUGUUUAUACAACUCUUACUUCUUUAAUGUACUUUAUAAAAUGUUUUAAUAUUCAGAACAAGUUUUAAAUAUAUAUAAAUAGUAUCAAGUUCCACUUAUAAUAUAGUGUGAAUUUACGAUUGUAAUUUAUGAGAAAAUGCAGAUGGAACAAAAGUGUAAUAUUAUUACUUGGAUAUGAAGUAAACUUGUAAUAACACCAGAAAUGUAGUGAUUAACUGCACCACCACUGCGUAAUAUCCCUCUAUAAAUUGUGAAGCAUUCAUAAAAAUCGAACAAGGGCAUUCAAUCCAUCCAAAGCGAAUUGCUGGUGAAAGAAUCUUUGAAAAUGAACAAUUUGAUAUAAUAUUGCCACCUUUGUAAUUGGGAUCCUCUAGGUUGUCAUAAAAGAACAGUCGAUGGGGCGGAUUUCCGUU